GAUGAACGCUGGCGGCGUGCCUAAUACAUGCAAGUCGAGCGAACAGACGAGGAGCUUGCUCCUCUGACGUUAGCGGCGGACGGGUGAGUAACACGUGGAUAACCUACCUAUAAGACUGGGAUAACUUCGGGAAACCGGAGCUAAUACCGGAUAAUAUAUUGCACCGCAUGGUUCAAUAGUGAAAGACGGUUUUGCUGUCACUUAUAGAUGGAUCCGCGCCGCAUUAGCUAGUUGGUAAGGUAACGGCUUACCAAGGCAACGAUGCGUAGCCGACCUGAGAGGGUGAUCGGCCACACUGGAACUGAGACACGGUCCAGACUACUACGGGAGGCAGCAGUAGGGAAUCUUCCGCAAUGGGCGAAAGCCUGACGGAGCAACGCCGCGUGAGUGAUGAAGGUCUUCGGAUCGUAAAACUCUGUUAUUAGGGAAGAACAAAUGUGUAAGUAACUAUGCACGUCUUGACGGUACCUAAUCAGAAAGCCACGGCUAACUACGUG
This 497-nucleotide ribosomal RNA is filed under the name uncultured bacterium. RNAcentral's name for it is "partial 16S ribosomal RNA". It matches the Rfam family "Bacterial small subunit ribosomal RNA", at positions 28 to 507 of the family's 1533-position model. The record is from RNAcentral.